AAACACAGGUCUAUGCGAAACCGAAAGGUGAGGUAUAUGGGCUGACGCCUGCCCGGUGCUGGAAGGUUAAGAGGAGAAGUCAGGCAACGAAGCUUCGAAUUUAAGCCCCAGUAAACGGCGGCCGUAACUAUAACGGUCCUAAGGUAGCGAAAUUCCUUGUCGGGUAAGUUCCGACCCGCACGAAAGGCGUAAUGAUUUGAGCACUGUCUCGACAAUGCAUCCGGUGAAAUUGAAGUACCAGUGAAGAUGCUGGUUACCUGCGCCAGGACGGAAAGACCCCAUGGAGCUUUACUCCAGCUUGAUACUGGGAUUCGAUACUGUAUGUACAGGAUAGGUGGGAGACGUUGAGCAUAGAACGCCAGUUUUAUGUGAGUCGCUGUUGGGAUACCACCCUUGCAGUAUUGGAUUUCUAACCUGCACCCAUGACCUGGGUGGGGGACAAUGUCUGGCGGGGAGUUUGACUGGGGCGGUCGCCUCCGAAAGGGUAUCGGAGGCGCUCAAAGGUUCCCUCAGAAUGGUUGGAAACCAUUCGAAGAGUGCAAAGGCAGAAGGGAGCUUGACUGCGACACCGACGGGUGGAGCAGGUACGAAAGUAGGACUUAGUGAUCCGGUGGUAUAAAGUGGGAUUGCCAUCGCUCAACGGAUAAAAGCUACCCUGGGGAUAACAGGCUUAUCACUCCCAAGAGUUCACAUCGACGGAGUGGUUUGGCACCUCGAUGUCGGCUCAUCGCAUCCUGGGGCUGUAGUAGGUCCCAAGGGUUGGGCUGUUCGCCCAUUAAAGCGGUACGCGAGCUGGGUUCAGAACGUCGUGAGACAGUUCGGUCCCUAUCCGGCGCAGGCGGAGGAUAUUUGAGAGGAGCUGUCCUUAGUACGAGAGGACCGGGAUGGACGGACCACUGGUGUAUCUGUUGGCUAUCAGAGCCAUGGCAGAGUAGCCAAGUCCGGCAGGGAUAAACGCUGAAGGCAUCUAAGCGUGAAGCCCCCCUCAAGAUGAGAUAUCCCUCAGAAAUGAGUAAGACCCCUUGAAGACUACGAGGUAGAUAGGAAUGAGGUGUAAGCACAGCAAUGUGUUCAGCUGACAUUUACUAAUCGGUCGAGGGCUUGACCAA
RNAcentral lists this ribosomal RNA (1109 nucleotides) under human gut metagenome. RNAcentral's name for it is "bacterial LSU rRNA". It matches the Rfam family "Bacterial large subunit ribosomal RNA", at positions 1811 to 2925 of the family's 2925-position model. The record is from RNAcentral.